GAGUUUGAUCGUGGCUCAGGAUGAACGCUGGCGGCGUGCCUAAUACAUGCAAGUCGAGCGAACAGACGAGGAGCUUGCUCCUCUGACGUUAGCGGCGGACGGGUGAGUAACACGUGGAUAACCUACCUAUAAGACUGGGAUAACUUCGGGAAACCGGAGCUAAUACCGGAUAAUAUAUUGAACCGCAUGGUUCAAUAGUGAAAGACGGUUUUGCUGUCACUUAUAGAUGGAUCCGCGCCGCAUUAGCUAGUUGGUAAGGUAACGGCUUACCAAGGCAACGAUGCGUAGCCGACCUGAGAGGGUGAUCGGCCACACUGGAACUGAGACACGGUCCAGACUCCUACGGGAGGCAGCAGUAGGGAAUCUUCCGCAAUGGGCGAAAGCCUGACGGAGCAACGCCGCGUGAGUGAUGAAGGUCUUCGGAUCGUAAAAACUCUGUUAUUAGGGAAGAACAAAUGUGUAAGUAACUAUGCACGUCUUGACGGUACCUAAUCAGAAAGCCACGGCUAACUACGUGCCAGCCG
Molecule: ribosomal RNA, 524 nt
Filed under: uncultured microorganism
Description: bacterial SSU rRNA
Rfam family: Bacterial small subunit ribosomal RNA
Source: RNAcentral